This 463-nucleotide ribosomal RNA is filed under the name Vreelandella stevensii. RNAcentral describes it as "partial 16S ribosomal RNA". It matches the Rfam family "Bacterial small subunit ribosomal RNA", at positions 338 to 795 of the family's 1533-position model. The record is from RNAcentral. Lineage: Bacteria; Pseudomonadati; Pseudomonadota; Gammaproteobacteria; Oceanospirillales; Halomonadaceae.
CCUACGGGAGGCUGCAGUGGGGAAUAUUGGACAAUGGGCGAAAGCCUGAUCCAGCCAUGCCGCGUGUGUGAAGAAGGCCUUCGGGUUGUAAAGCACUUUCAGUGGGGAAGAAAGCCUUGGGGCUAAUACCCUCGAGGAAGGACAUCACCCACAGAAGAAGCACCGGCUAACUCCGUGCCAGCAGCCGCGGUAAUACGGAGGGUGCGAGCGUUAAUCGGAAUUACUGGGCGUAAAGCGCGCGUAGGCGGUCUGAUAAGCCGGUUGUGAAAGCCCCGGGCUCAACCUGGGAACGGCAUCCGGAACUGUCAGGCUAGAGUGCAGGAGAGGAAGGUAGAAUUCCCGGUGUAGCGGUGAAAUGCGUAGAGAUCGGGAGGAAUACCAGUGGCGAAGGCGGCCUUCUGGACUGACACUGACGCUGAGGUGCGAAAGCGUGGGUAGCAAACAGGAUUAGAUACCCGAAGUC